RNAcentral lists this ribosomal RNA (492 nucleotides) under uncultured bacterium. RNAcentral's name for it is "partial 16S ribosomal RNA". It matches the Rfam family "Bacterial small subunit ribosomal RNA", at positions 29 to 507 of the family's 1533-position model. The record is from RNAcentral.
AGUGAACGCUGGCGGUAGGCCUAACACAUGCAAGUCGAACGGCAGCACAGUAAGAGCUUGCUCUUACGGGUGGCGAGUGGCGGACGGGUGAGGAAUACAUCGGAAUCUACUUUUUCGUGGGGGAUAACGUAGGGAAACUUACGCUAAUACCGCAUACGACCUACGGGUGAAAGCAUGGGAUCUUCGGACCUUGCGCGAUUGAAUGAGCCGAUGUCGGAUUAGCUAGUUGGCGGGGUAAAGGCCCACCAAGGCGACGAUCCGUAGCUGGUCUGAGAGGAUGAUCAGACACACUGGAACUGAGACACGGUCCAGACGCCUACGGGAGGGAGCAGUGGGGAAUAUUGGACAAUGGGCGAAAGCCUGAUCCAGCAAUACCGCGUGGGUGAAGAAGGCCUUCGGGUUGUAAAGCCCUUUUGUUGGGAAAGAAAAGAAGCAGGUUAAUACCCCGCUGUUAUGACGGUACCCAAAGAAUAAGCACCGGCUAACUUCGUG